RNAcentral lists this ribosomal RNA (253 nucleotides) under uncultured bacterium. Its description in RNAcentral is "partial 16S ribosomal RNA". It matches the Rfam family "Bacterial small subunit ribosomal RNA", at positions 524 to 776 of the family's 1533-position model. The record is from RNAcentral.
UACGAAGGGGGCAAGCGUUACUCGGAAUUAUUGGGCGUAAAGCGUGCGUAGGCGGCUUAGCAAGUUGGAAGUGAAAGCCUAGGGCUUAACCUUAGAAUUGCUUUCAAAACUGCUCUGCUAGAGUACUAGAGAGGAUAGCGGAAUUCCUAGUGUAGAGGUGAAAUUCGUAGAUAUUAGGAGGAACACCGGAGGCGAAAGCGGCUAUCUGGCUGGAUACUGACGCUGUUGCACGAAAGCGUGGGGAGCAAACAGG